GGCAGUAUGGCCGAGUGGUUAAGGCGAUAGACUUGAAUUAAUAUUGAAAUCUAUUCUCUUCGGAGGCGUCGGUUCAAAUCCGGCUGCUGUCG
RNAcentral lists this transfer RNA (92 nucleotides) under Aspergillus aculeatus ATCC 16872. It matches the Rfam family "tRNA". From Rfam's summary of the family: Transfer RNA (tRNA) molecules are approximately 80 nucleotides in length. Their secondary structure includes four short double-helical elements and three loops (D, anti-codon, and T loops). Further hydrogen bonds mediate the characteristic L-shaped molecular structure. tRNAs have two regions of fundamental functional importance: the anti-codon, which is responsible for specific mRNA codon recognition, and the 3' end, to which the tRNAs corresponding amino acid is attached (by aminoacyl-tRNA synthetases). tRNAs cope with the degeneracy of the genetic code in two manners: having more than one tRNA (with a specific anti-codon) for a particular amino acid; and 'wobble' base-pairing, i.e. permitting non-standard base-pairing at the 3rd anti-codon position. The record is from Rfam by way of RNAcentral. Lineage: Eukaryota; Fungi; Ascomycota; Eurotiomycetes; Eurotiales; Aspergillaceae.